AACUGAUACUACCUGCGGGAACCUGCGGAGGGAUCAUUACCAGGCAUCGUCAUGACCUCCCCGACAAGGGGUGGUCGGAGUGACGUAUGUACCCCCAUCCUUGCAUAUUGACCUAGUUGUCUGGGCGGCGUCUUUGGGGUCUUUCAGGCCUCUCCGACCCGCCCGGAGGAUCUACCCUGACGCUGGCUUGACAUUGAGGACUCUGAGCCCAUCGGGAACUAGAAUGAAACAGUUCAAAAC
Molecule: unclassified non-coding RNA, 240 nt
Filed under: soil metagenome
Description: partial contains 5.8S ribosomal RNA, internal transcribed spacer 2, and large subunit ribosomal RNA
Source: RNAcentral